This 486-nucleotide ribosomal RNA is filed under the name uncultured bacterium. RNAcentral's name for it is "partial 16S ribosomal RNA". It matches the Rfam family "Bacterial small subunit ribosomal RNA", at positions 28 to 507 of the family's 1533-position model. The record is from RNAcentral.
GAUGAACGCUGGCGGCGUGCCUAACACAUGCAAGUCGAACGGAAAGACCCAAGCUUGUUUCGGUUCUCGAUUGCGGAAGGCGGGAGUAUCACGUGGGUAUCCUGCUCUGCUCUUCCGGAGAAGACUGCGAAAGUGGGUCUACUAUAGGAUAGGAUACGGGUUACGAUGCAAUUCAGGAGAGCUUUUUCGGUUUGGGGUGAGUUUGAGGCGUAUCCGCUAGUUGGUGGGGUAAAGGUAAACCAAGGCGACGACGCGUAGCCGGUCCGAGAGGGAGAACAGCCACACUGGAACGGAGACACGGACCAGACUCCUAAGGGAGGCAGCAGUCGGGAAUGUUGCAGCAGGGGCGAAAGCCUGACCAAGCGAGACCGCGUGAGUGAGGAAGGCCUCCGGGUUGUAAACCGCUUUUGUUGGGGAAGAACAUCUGGAUAUGAACGCAGCGCUGUUGUGACGGUACCUAAAGAAUAAGCACCGGCUAACUACGUG